Molecule: transfer RNA, 85 nt
Filed under: Zobellella endophytica
Lineage: Bacteria; Pseudomonadati; Pseudomonadota; Gammaproteobacteria; Aeromonadales; Aeromonadaceae
Also listed under: 3 other names
Description: tRNA-Leu
Rfam family: tRNA
About the family: Transfer RNA (tRNA) molecules are approximately 80 nucleotides in length. Their secondary structure includes four short double-helical elements and three loops (D, anti-codon, and T loops). Further hydrogen bonds mediate the characteristic L-shaped molecular structure. tRNAs have two regions of fundamental functional importance: the anti-codon, which is responsible for specific mRNA codon recognition, and the 3' end, to which the tRNAs corresponding amino acid is attached (by aminoacyl-tRNA synthetases). tRNAs cope with the degeneracy of the genetic code in two manners: having more than one tRNA (with a specific anti-codon) for a particular amino acid; and 'wobble' base-pairing, i.e. permitting non-standard base-pairing at the 3rd anti-codon position.
Source: RNAcentral
GGCAGUGUGAUGAAAUUGGUAGACAUGAGUGAUUCAAAAUCACUUGCCUUCGGGCGUGCCGGUUCGAGUCCGGCCACUGCUACCA